Molecule: long non-coding RNA, 478 nt
Organism: Balaenoptera ricei (Rice's whale)
Lineage: Eukaryota; Metazoa; Chordata; Mammalia; Artiodactyla; Balaenopteridae
Exons: 3
Source: RefSeq, a predicted model, not a curated record
CGGACCGGGGCCUGGGCAGGGGAUGGCAGAUGCUGGGCCGCGCCCGCGAAGGAAACAGAAAUAUGGGCGCAAGGACGGGCCGUCCCUACGGGGCACGGGGCCCUUGUCUGUCCUGGGCUCUCCCUGCGAAAGGGCUCACAUCCGGGAGGAGAGCGGAAGCGGGGGGCGGCCCUACCCCCGCCGUGUGACGGCCCCGGGGACAGCCUUCCCCGCCCAUUGUGACGACCGGUGUGAAGGCCCCGGGACAGCCUCAGACAGUUCCCUGAAGUGAAAUCACAGUAUGAUUUUUAAGGCCUUUGUAAAUCAUCGAAUUACCCGCCGUCCAGUGCACUUUUUCUUCUUCCAGCGGUGUAUGAAGGUGCCAGUUUCCCCUAAUCGUCUAUAUGCUCAUAAGACAUCCGAGGACUGACUAAAGGUGCUGGUUGGUUCCUGGUGGAGCUGAGACCACAGCGGGCAGGCAGGUGUCCCACUACUGGUG